GAUGAACGCUAGCAGUAUGCCUUAUACAUGCAUGUCGAACGAAGUGCUUUAUGCACUUAGUGGCAAAUGGGUGAGUAACACGUACUUAACCUACCUUUUAGAUUGGAAUAACCAUGAGAAAUCGUGGAUAAUACCGAAUAUGAUUAUUUCGCAUGAAAUUAUUUGAAAGAAGCGUUUGCUUCGCUAAAAGAUGGGGGUACGCGACAUUAGUUGUUGGUAGGUAAAGGCCUACCAAGACUAUGAUGUCUAGCCGAGCUGAGAGCUGACGGCACAUUGGGACUGAGAUACGGCCCAGACCGCUACGGUGGGG
This 310-nucleotide ribosomal RNA is filed under the name uncultured bacterium. Its description in RNAcentral is "bacterial SSU rRNA". It matches the Rfam family "Bacterial small subunit ribosomal RNA", at positions 28 to 349 of the family's 1533-position model. The record is from RNAcentral.